AGAAAAGUUCCUGGAGGUUCAAGAGAAUAGUACUGGCCUCCACUCAGCUCUGGUGAGGACCUUAAGCAAAUUGCACGACGAUGUGAGGAGUGUGUAGAAGAGCAAAAGGUCACAUGGAAAGACAAGAAGCCAGAGAGAGUGGGGAGGGUUGGAACUAUUCUUUCAAAACAAUUCAGUCUCAUGGAAACCAACUGGGGUCUCAAGAGAGCUAUUAUGUUAAUCCUUUCUGAGGUCAGUGCCUCAAUGACCUAACCAUUUCCCACUAAGCCCCACCUCUUAAAGGUCCCAUCACCUCUCACAUGACCACACUGGAACCAAGGUCCUGACACAUAAAUCCCCAGGGGAGAAGCCAUAGCCAAGCCAUUGCACCGUGUGUGUAGACUUGGAUGGAGAGAGACCUGAGGUUCAUAGGGAAAUGUGGCAAGAGAAGCUCAUGGGUGACUUGCAGGGGAGGCUGGCCUUCAGAGUCUCUGCCUGUGCAACUCAAAUGUGGCGCCACAUUCUGAUGGUGGGAUAAAAUUUCUCUGAGCCAGCUAACUUCCACUUCCACUAUCGGCUAGAGGACUGGACAGCCCUGUUUCCAGGAUGGGAGAAAAUAAUGCUGGAAUUAACAGUCACUGCUCAUAUAACAAGUCACCCUGGAAAUGGAAAACCAGAAAGGGCGCAGAAAUGAGUCUCCAUCAGGAGAGUGUUUCUGGCUUCCACACUAUCAGGGGACGAAGAUCUGAUCCAACUAUCAGAAGGAAACUCUACCAUCUCUGCAAGGUUCCCUGGCACCAGAAAGAGCUGGAGCUGCCUUCAGAUACAGAAACCAAAGGCUCCACAAUGAACUAGAAAAUAGUGGACCGGUGUCAAGAGCCUUUUAAAAACACUAGGAUGUAGCCGGGUGUGGUGGCACACGCCUGUAAUCCCAGCACUCAGGAGGCUGAGGCAGGAGGAUCUAUGUGAGUUUGAGACGAGCCUGGGCUACAUAGUGAGUUUUCCAGGGCAGUCUGAACUACAUAGUGACACCCUGUCUCAAAAAGCAAAAUAAAACAAAACAGCCUCCCCCAAACCAGGAUAUGCUUAUGGGGGAGCUUUUCACUAAAGAAGGAGAUACCACAUGGGCUGAACUUUGCACCUGCAGAGUUGGAGACAGACUGCAGACACUGGGAAGUCACAUCGGCAGGGGAAGAGGCACUGAAGCUUGAAGUAGGGUGGAAAGUGACAGGAACAAGGAAGGACAGAGCCUAGAACCAUAGGAGGACAAGGGAGUGCGGUUCAGGCAAAGGGCCAGGGUGAAGGGUUCCCAUCUACACCGGGGAAGUGCUCAGGUCCUGGGCUUGCUUUCCCAAGUUGCGUUUGUGGAGGUGGCACGGCCACAUCACAGCAAUGGUGCCCGACUUGUUAACCCUAAGACUUGCUUGUGCCAGGAACUGCACCCUGGCUGGCUCUGGGAGGCCAUGAUGAACAGCCUGCGACUGUAGGCUCCUCUUCUCUGUAGUGAGGCCUCCACGAGUGCUUCGUCCUCUGAGGGCACUGUGUGGGCUGGAUGUGAGUAGACAUUUGUGUCCCAGGCCUGUAAGGAAUGCAUCCUCGAAGGCCUCAUUGCAGGUAGAUUCAGGGAGUUUGCAUCAUUUUACUCCUGGAAUCCACUGCCAAGGAAGGAAAUGCAUACGCCAACCUGCUGGACUGCUUCAGCCGCACUAAUAGAAACUCCACGCGAGUUGGCUUCAGUUGACUUUUAAAAGUGAAUUUUAUCGCUGCAUAUCCUUGAAAAAGUACCAGAGGAGCUCUGCCUUCAAAGCCACCCAGAAGAAAGAUACUCGAAUAUUGUUAAAAGACACACCAGGGUACAAAUGUCCUUUCUCAUUCAUCUCUGAUGUUCUCUGACUUGGUACCCCCUCUGUGAAAGUAUGCUCUCUUCAGUUCCAGGUUUACAUUUUCACAAGCCCAGGUCCGGAA
Molecule: long non-coding RNA, 1944 nt
Filed under: Fukomys damarensis (Damara mole-rat)
Lineage: Eukaryota; Metazoa; Chordata; Mammalia; Rodentia; Bathyergidae
Description: lncRNA (ENSFDAG00000031593.1)
Source: RNAcentral